CCUGUCCCUUGAGGCAUUGCAGGUAUGGGUGCCAUGCCACAUGUGCAUCAGUAGGUGGCAGAGUCAAGAGAAGCUAAGUCUUCACUCAGUGUUCUGACCUUUGAACAUCUGAAUGAUUAGUAGCCUAAGAUG
Molecule: small nucleolar RNA, 132 nt
Organism: Mastomys coucha (southern multimammate mouse)
Lineage: Eukaryota; Metazoa; Chordata; Mammalia; Rodentia; Muridae
Product: small nucleolar RNA SNORA17
Exons: 1
Source: RefSeq, a predicted model, not a curated record